ACGCCACGCCAGCGUAGCCUUGACGUCGCCGCCGGACCUCAGGUAUCUCGUCGUUCUCUCUCUAGGUGUAGUGUCGGUGAGUUGGCCGAUUCUCUGUGUUUUAUUUUUUGUUUCUCGCAUGUGUGUGUGUUGAAACUCGGG
This is a long non-coding RNA of Rhodamnia argentea, 141 nucleotides long. RefSeq lists it as uncharacterized. Lineage: Eukaryota; Viridiplantae; Streptophyta; Magnoliopsida; Myrtales; Myrtaceae. The record is from RefSeq and is a predicted model, not a curated record. The transcript has 4 exons.